RNAcentral lists this ribosomal RNA (1382 nucleotides) under Providencia rettgeri. RNAcentral's name for it is "partial 23S ribosomal RNA". It matches the Rfam family "Bacterial large subunit ribosomal RNA", at positions 1568 to 2925 of the family's 2925-position model. The record is from RNAcentral. Lineage: Bacteria; Pseudomonadati; Pseudomonadota; Gammaproteobacteria; Enterobacterales; Morganellaceae.
GACGAGUCACUACGGUGAUGAAGUAGCUCAUGCCCCGCUUCCAGGAAAAGCCUCUAAGCUCUAGAUUAUCAUUAAUCGUACCCCAAACCGACACAGGUGGUCAGGUAGAGAAUACUCAGGCGCUUGAGAGAACUCGGGUGAAGGAACUAGGCAAAAUGGUGCCGUAACUUCGGGAGAAGGCACGCUGGCAUUAGGUGAAGUGAUUUACUCAUGGAGCUGAAGCCAGUCGCAGAUACCAGCUGGCUGCAACUGUUUAUUAAAAACACAGCACUGUGCAAACACGAAAGUGGACGUAUACGGUGUGACGCCUGCCCGGUGCUGGAAGGUUAAUUGAUGGGGUUAUCCGUAAGGAGAAGCUCUUGAUCGAAGCCCCAGUAAACGGCGGCCGUAACUAUAACGGUCCUAAGGUAGCGAAAUUCCUUGUCGGGUAAGUUCCGACCUGCACGAAUGGCGUAAUGAUGGCCAGGCUGUCUCCACCCGAGACUCAGUGAAAUUGAACUCGCUGUGAAGAUGCAGUGUACCCGCGGCAAGACGGAAAGACCCCGUGAACCUUUACUAUAGCUUGACACUGAACAUUGAGCCUUGAUGUGUAGGAUAGGUGGGAGGCUUCGAAGCGUGGACGCCAGUCUGCGUGGAGCCAACCUUGAAAUACCACCCUUUAAUGUUUGAUGUUCUAACGUUGCCCCAUUAUCUGGGGUGCGGACAGUGUCUGGUGGGUAGUUUGACUGGGGCGGUCUCCUCCCAAAGAGUAACGGAGGAGCACGAAGGUUGGCUAAGCAUGGUCGGACAUCAUGCGGUUAGUGCAAAGGCAUAAGCCAGCUUGACUGCGAGAGUGACGGCUCGAGCAGGUACGAAAGUAGGUCUUAGUGAUCCGGUGGUUCUGAAUGGAAGGGCCAUCGCUCAACGGAUAAAAGGUACUCCGGGGAUAACAGGCUGAUACCGCCCAAGAGUUCAUAUCGACGGCGGUGUUUGGCACCUCGAUGUCGGCUCAUCACAUCCUGGGGCUGAAGUAGGUCCCAAGGGUACGGCUGUUCGCCGUUUAAAGUGGUACGCGAGCUGGGUUUAGAACGUCGUGAGACAGUUCGGUCCCUAUCUGCCGUGGGCGUUGGAAGAUUGAAAGGGGCUGCUCCUAGUACGAGAGGACCGGAGUGGACGCACCACUGGUGUUCGGGUUGUCAUGCCAAUGGCAUUGCCCGGUAGCUAAGUGCGGAAGAGAUAACCGCUGAAAGCAUCUAAGCGGGAAACUUGCCUUGAGAUGAGUCUUCCCUGACUCUUUAAGAGUCCUAAAGGAACGUUUAAGACUAAGACGUUGAUAGGUUGGGUGUGUAAGCGUAGCGAUACGUUGAGCUAACCAAUACUAAUGAACCGUGAGGCUUAACCUG